UUGUUGGUAAGGUAAAAGCUUACCAAGGCUUCGAUCAGUAGCUGGUCUGAGAGGACGACCAGCCACACUGGGACUGAGACACGGCCCAGACUCCUACGGGAGGCAGCAGUGGGGAAUUUUGGACAAUGGGGGCAACCCUGAUCCAGCCAUGCCGCGUGAGUGAAGAAGGCCUUCGGGUUGUAAAGCUCUUUCAGCCGGAACGAAACGGUUACGGAUAACACCCGUGACUACUGACGGUACCGGAAGAAGAAGCACCGGCUAACUACGUGCCAGCAGCCGCGGUAAUACGUAGGGUGCGAGCGUUAAUCGGAAUUACUGGGCGUAAAGCGUGCGCAGGUGGUUUUGUAAGUCAGAUGUGAAAGCCCCGGGCUCAACCUGGGAACUGCGUUUGAAACUACAAGACUAGAGUGUGGCAGAGGGGGGUGGAAUUCCGCGUGUAGCAGUGAAAUGCGUAGAGAUGUGGAGGAACACCGAUGGCGAAGGCAGCCCCCUGGGUCAACACUGACGCUCAGGCACGAAAGCAUGGGGAGCAAACAGGAUUAGAUACCCUGGUAGUCCAUGCCCUAAACGAUGUCAACUAGUUGUCGGGCCUUUACGGGCUUGGUAACGUAGCUAACGCGUGAAGUUGACCGCCUGGGGAGUACGAUCGCAAGAUUAAAACUCAAAUGAAUUGACGGGGACCCGCACAAGCGGUGGAUUAUGUGGAUUAAUUCGAUGCAACGCGAAAAACCUUACCUACCCUCGACAUGUAUCGAAGCCCGCAGAAAAGCGGGGGUGCCCGAAAGGGAACGAUAACACAGGUGCUGCAUGGCUGUCGUCAGCUCGUGUCGUGAGAUGUUGGGUUAAGUCCCGCAACGAGCGCAACCCUUGUCAUUAAUUGCCAUCAUUUAGUUGGGCACUUUAAUGAGACUGCCGG
Molecule: ribosomal RNA, 916 nt
Filed under: uncultured bacterium
Lineage: Bacteria
Description: bacterial SSU rRNA
Rfam family: Bacterial small subunit ribosomal RNA
Source: RNAcentral